CUUAAAUUGAAGAGUUUGAUCAUGGCUCAGAUUGAACGCUGGCGGCAGGCCUAACACAUGCAAGUCGAGCGGUAGCACAGGAGAGCUUGCUCUCUGGGUGACGAGCGGCGGACGGGUGAAUAAUGUCUGGGAAACUGCCUGAUGGAGGGGGAUAACUACUGGAAACGGUAGCUAAUACCGCAUAACCUCGCAAGAGCAAAGAGGGGGACCUUCGGGCCUCUCG
RNAcentral lists this ribosomal RNA (223 nucleotides) under Pectobacterium odoriferum. RNAcentral's name for it is "Pectobacterium carotovorum subsp. odoriferum partial 16S ribosomal RNA". It matches the Rfam family "Bacterial small subunit ribosomal RNA", at positions 1 to 217 of the family's 1533-position model. Lineage: Bacteria; Pseudomonadati; Pseudomonadota; Gammaproteobacteria; Enterobacterales; Pectobacteriaceae. The record is from RNAcentral.